GACGAACGCUGGCGGCGUGCUUAACACAUGCAGGUCGAGCGAUGAAGUUCCUUCGGGAAUGGAUUAGCGGCGGACGGGUGAGUAACACGUGGGUAACCUGCCUCAUAGAGGGGAAUAGCCUUUCGAAAGGAAGAUUAAUACCGCAUAAGAUUGUAGUAUCGCAUGAUACAGCAAUUAAAGGAGUAAUCCGCUAUGAGAUGGACCCGCGUCGCAUUAGCUAGUUGGUGAGGUAACGGCUCACCAAGGCGGCGAUGCGUAGCCGACCUGAGAGGGUGAUCGGCCACAUUGGGACUGAGACACGGCCCAGACUCCUACGGGAGGCAGCAGUGGGGAAUAUUGCACAAUGGGGGAAACCCUGAUGCAGCAACGCCGCGUGAGUGAUGACGGUCUUCGGAUUGUAAAACUCUGUCUUCAGGGACGAUAAUGACGGUACCUGAGGAGGAAGCCACGGCUAACUACGUGCCAGCCGCCGCGGUAA
RNAcentral lists this ribosomal RNA (478 nucleotides) under uncultured bacterium. RNAcentral describes it as "partial 16S ribosomal RNA". It matches the Rfam family "Bacterial small subunit ribosomal RNA", at positions 28 to 523 of the family's 1533-position model. The record is from RNAcentral.